UUUUGUUGUAUGUGUUUUUUUGAUCUUGUGUUGAUUGAUGUUGAUGGACAGCAAAGUUAAAUUAUAAAAAUUCGUUCUUUAUGUUUUUUUUUGGGUUUUAUUCCUCUGGCAUCAAAGGUUUAAGAUUUUCAAUCGUAGAAAUUAGGGCUGCUUGUUUGGCAGUACUCUUAUCAUGCUAUUAGGGAAUGUGGCAUAUUUUUGGAUUUUAUUUUUAUCUUGCAAAGAGUAUAAGAUGAUCCCCUCUUGCAAGCUAGAUUGUGUGAUGUUUAUGAUUUUGUCAAAGGUUUAAGCUGGCUUCUAGUUAGGGAUAUGGUAUUUAACAUAUGUGACGCAUAGAUGUGACGAAAAAAUUACACAAAAUCUCACACCCAUCUAGUUUAGAUGACACAAAAAAUGUGACAGAGAAUAGUUUAGGUUUUGUGUGACGUGAAAGGGAGAAACAUGAACACGAGCAUACAUUGAUCUACCGUCUGUUUCUUCUUUGACUUAUGCUAACGCGGAAGUCAAAGAGAGCGUGAUCGUGUGAGGGCUCAGGCGAGGGCUGGGCAGAAGCCCAGGAACCCGAAGGAUGAUGGAUUGACCCCGGAACAGAGACGAGAGAGGUUUGAUAUGCAAACUCUUGUCUGAGAUUGAUUUGAUGGCAUUGUUGUUGGUUGUGACAUUGGUGUGUGGUGUCUGAUUUGCAGGGACGCAAAGGCAUUGCAAGAAAAGGAGGCGAAGAAGGCAGCAGCAGCAGGAGGGAAGGCAAGUGCAGAUCAUACUAAAAAUCACAAUAAGAAAUAGAUGGUGUUUGAUUCAUCUGCUUCUUUGAGGGGUGGUAUUGAUGGAUCAGAUGUGGUUUUAGCUUUGUUGUUGUUCAUUUCUGGAACUGAAUAUUUCGUGUAAUCUCCUUGUAUCUGAUUUUAUCAAUGCAAUCGCCUUUUAGUGUGUCAAAUAUUGUUUCUUGAUUGCUGGAUGCUUGGUGUGGUGUAUCGUGCAUUGAUAAAAUGAAAUAUGAGACUGAAACAUGAAUCUGAAUGGUUUAUCAUGUAUUGAUACAAUGAAAUACGAGAUUGAAACAUAUGAUACCUGACACCGAAUAGUGGGCUGGCACGAUUCAUAAAAUGAAAUAUGAGACUGAAACAUGUGCAUGGAUAAAUUGAAAUAUGCGACCCAAACACGAUACUGA
This 1168-nucleotide long non-coding RNA is filed under the name Salvia miltiorrhiza (redroot sage). RNAcentral describes it as "long non-coding RNA (SMIL_LNC002187)". The record is from RNAcentral. Lineage: Eukaryota; Viridiplantae; Streptophyta; Magnoliopsida; Lamiales; Lamiaceae.